AUUAAACGCUGGCGGCAUGCCUUACACAUGCAAGUCGAACGGCAGCACGGGAGCUUGCUCCUGGUGGCGAGUGGCGGACGGGUGAGUAAUACAUCGGAACGUGCCCUGGAGUGGGGGAUAACGCAGCGAAAGCUACGCUAAUACCGCAUAUUCUGUGAGCAGGAAAGCAGGGGAUCGCAAGACCUUGCGCUCUAGGAGCGGCCGAUGUCGGAUUAGCUAGUUGGUGGGGUAAAGGCCCACCAAGGCGACGAUCCGUAGCGGGUCUGAGAGGAUGAUCCGCCACACUGGGACUGAGACACGGCCCAGACUCCUACGGGAGGCAGCAGUGGGGAAUUUUGGACAAUGGGCGCAAGCCUGAUCCAGCCAUGCCGCGUGAGUGAAGAAGGCCUGGUGUAAGCUCUUCGCGGGAGAAAGUUGCUUGGUUAAGUACCCUGAGUAGAUGACGGUACCCGGAGAAGAAGC
RNAcentral lists this ribosomal RNA (462 nucleotides) under uncultured bacterium. RNAcentral describes it as "bacterial SSU rRNA". It matches the Rfam family "Bacterial small subunit ribosomal RNA", at positions 29 to 491 of the family's 1533-position model. The record is from RNAcentral.